Molecule: non-coding RNA, 1136 nt
Organism: Hydra vulgaris (swiftwater hydra)
Lineage: Eukaryota; Metazoa; Cnidaria; Hydrozoa; Anthoathecata; Hydridae
Source: RefSeq, a predicted model, not a curated record
AUACGUUUUUCAAUAAUCUUUUUUUUAUAAAAAACCUAUUUUUAUUUGUUGUGCUGUUGAUAUCAAAUUGUUUUUCUAAUACUUAAUUAUUACUUUUUAUCUUUUUUUAUAUUUUAACUAGAAACACAACAAUUACAAUAUGUACAACAACAACCACAAUCAGUGAACUUUCAACAAAUGUUUUUGCAAUCUAUGGAAGAAAUGUGUAAGAUUUUAGAUUGUAUUGAUUAUUAAACUUUUUAUUUGUUACUGUAAUACUCAUGUUUUAUUUAAUUUUUUAAAAUAUCACUUUACAUAGAAAAUGUUAAUAAAAUUGUUUUUUCUCUUUAGUUAAUAAUUUUUUAAAGAAGAUGGAGGUGCAAUCCUGUAUGAAAAUAUCUUUAACUUUAUAAAUUUAUAAAUUGGUUCUUUCCAAAAAAUAAUUGAUUAUAUGCAUACAUAUGGUGGUGGUAUACACAUCACCAUAUUGUUUUAUUUAAACAUAUAAAAGAAUUUAGCUUUUUUUAUUGUAAAGUUUCUUAUGUAUUAUGAAAUCAUAGAUUUUUUGAUUAUAUAUAGCCCAAACACCAUCAUUGUCAAUGGCAGCAGCUGCCACAACUCCUGCAACAAUAACAACAACAACAACAACAACAACAACAACAACAGCAUCUUCCUCAUCAUCUGCUACAAGUGCAGCUGCUGCUGAUUUGUCAUAUGAGGCUUUUAUAGCCUACAGGAGGAGUCAACCAGGACCCAUAUCCUACAGGGCCCAUAGGAUAUGGGCCUCAAAUAAUGGGGCAGAUCUCCCCUCUUUUCGUUGGGGGAGAAGAAGAAGAAAUGGGAGGGGGGGUGGAAGGGGGGGUGUUAUGUAUAAUUAUAAUUGAUUAUACAAAUUAUACGAAUAAAUAAAAUAAAAUUUUACAAUAAGCACUGUUGUUUUUCUUUACCCUUCCUAAGAUAAAUUUUGCCAAUGUUGGAAAUGAUUUUAAACAAUAAAGGCGUUUAUGACUUUUUUAUUUAACAUAUGGGUGCCUUACAGUAAAAAGUACCAAUCUUCUGAGUUACUGAUACAGUUGCAUAGAGUCAGGAAUAAGUCACAAAAUAAAACAAAAAUUAGCUUGAUAGCAUCAUUUUUAAAAGUUCUACAUAGUUUUUCA